RNAcentral lists this ribosomal RNA (429 nucleotides) under Actinomycetes bacterium. RNAcentral describes it as "Actinobacteria bacterium partial 16S ribosomal RNA". It matches the Rfam family "Bacterial small subunit ribosomal RNA", at positions 355 to 776 of the family's 1533-position model. The record is from RNAcentral. Lineage: Bacteria; Bacillati; Actinomycetota; Actinomycetes.
UAGGGAAUCUUCCGCAAUGGGCGAAAGCUUGACGGAGCAACGCCGCGUGAGUGAUGAAGGUCUUCGGAUCGUAAAACUCUGUUAUUAGGGAAGAACAAAUGUGUAAGUAACUAUGCACGUCUUGACGGUACCUAAUCAGAAAGCCACGGCUAACUACGUGCCAGCAGCCGCGGUAAUACGUAGGUGGCAAGCGUUUUCCGGAAUUAUUGGGCGUAAAGCGCGCGUAGGCGGUUUUUUAAGUCUGAUGUGAAAGCCCACGGCUCAACCGUGGAGGGUCAUUGGAAACUGGAAAACUUGAGUGCAGAAGAGGAAAGUGGAAUUCCAUGUGUAGCUGUGAAAUGCGCAGAGAUAUGGAGGAACACCAGUGGCGAAGGCGACUUUCUGGUCUGUAACUGACGCUGAUGUGCGAAAGCGUGGGGAUCAAACAGG